UGCCGUUUUUUGAAUCUGUGGUCCGAGUCUAUGACAUGGAGCUCUGCAAGAGUUAACACUCCCGAGCAGAAUGCUACUCCGAAACCGCCUCUUCACUCUCUUACCACCUCCAUCUUUUCAUCUACCUUCUACAAAACCUCUCUUCUCUACCCUCUUUUUCAAUUACUCGACCCUAAAAUCUCCAAAGCCCAAUUCGAUACCUCAUGUCUCUGCUUCAAAGACUGCCAAACCGUCGACCUCUGAUGCCGCCCGAUUCGCCCGCACUGUGCUCUUUGUCCCACCAGGUGUCGACCCCGACGAGGUGACGGAGGACAUGGUUUUACCGGGGUCGAACAUCGUUAUAGGACCCUACGCGGGUCAUUCACAGAUUAAGGAAGUGGAAUUCGUUAAGAGCAGCAGUCGGGCUAGAGACUGUCCCAGAGAUGACCGGCCCGAGUUUGCCAUUCUGGGUCGCUCCAAUGUGGGCAAGUCUUCACUUAUUAAUUCUCUUGUUAGAAAGAAGGAAAUUGCUCUAACUUCAAAAAAACCAGGGAAGACCCAGUUCAUUAAUCAUUUCCUGGUGAAUAGAAGUUGGUAUAUUGUGGAUUUGCCUGGUUAUGGGUUUGCUAAGGCCCCAGAUUCUGCUCGAACAGAUUGGUCUGCCUUCACUAAAGGCUACUUUUUGAACAGAGAAACUCUAGUUGCUGUCCUACUUCUUAUUGAUGCAAGUGUUCCCCCUCAAAAGAUUGACCUAGAUUGUGCUAAUUGGCUUGGACGCAAUAAUAUACCAUUGACUUUUGUUUUCACAAAAUGUGACAAAAUGAAAGGGGGAAAGGGAACAAGGCCUGAUGAGAACAUUAGGAAAUUCCAAGAGCUGAUCAGACAAAACUACCAGGAACAUCCUCCAUGGAUAAUGACUAGUAGUGUAACUGGCUUGGGCAGAGAUGAGCUUCUUCUUCAUAUGUCACAGCUAAGGAACUACUGGGAUCAAUAAAACGUGGAGUCAAAAUCUACUGUCCGAUAUAACUUACACCUAAAAUAGAUGCAUGAUAAUCCAGGUAUUAUAUGAAAUAUCUACAGUUUCCACCUAUCCCCAACUUAUUUUGUUCCUGUUACAUGUGAUUUCUUCUACAGAAAGUUGCUUUAAAAUAUAAAAAUGGAGUCUGUAACUUGCAGUGUGCUGGAGCCUGGAUGUAACAUUUUUCAUUUAUUAUAGGUUCAAUAAUUUCACUCAUCUAGAGAAGUAUUUGUUAAUUGUGCUGCUUGCUGCACCGUCAUCAUACUCUUGAAGCUUUGACCAAGACUAUUUUCUGAAGCAUCGCAUCUAAUGAACUGAACCUUCAGUUGAGUCUUUUAUCCCUUGUCCCACUAUUGGUCAAGCUUGUAUUUCUGGUGAUGUCAUAGUUAUGGGGUUCAAACAUUGGAAGAACUUGCGCAGCACAUCAGGCAACUGCUCUUUCGAUCUAAGAAAUGUUUGUACAAUUCAUGCAUCCAUUAAAAUAAUAGAGAUAAUUACUAUGGUGUUUCUGUA
This is an RNA transcript of Manihot esculenta (cassava), 1510 nucleotides long. It is a transcript of the gene named GTP-binding protein At2g22870, with no coding region annotated. The transcript has 5 exons. Lineage: Eukaryota; Viridiplantae; Streptophyta; Magnoliopsida; Malpighiales; Euphorbiaceae. The record is from RefSeq and is a predicted model, not a curated record.